RNAcentral lists this ribosomal RNA (433 nucleotides) under uncultured bacterium. RNAcentral describes it as "partial 16S ribosomal RNA". It matches the Rfam family "Bacterial small subunit ribosomal RNA", at positions 28 to 507 of the family's 1533-position model. The record is from RNAcentral.
AGCGAACGCUGGCGGCAUGCUUAACACAUGCAAGUCGCACGGGCAGCAAUGUCAGUGGCGGACGGGUGAGUAACGCGUAGGAACGUGUCCUGAGGUGGGGGGCAACCCCGGGAAACUGGGGCUAAUACCGCAUAUGGGCUGAGGCCCAAAGCCGAGAGGCGCCUUUGGGGCGGCGUGCGUCCGCUUAGGUAGUUGGUGGGGUAAAGGCCGACCAAGCCUGCGAUCGGUAGCUGGUCUGAGAGGACGACCAGCCACACUUGGACGGCGGCCCGGCCCAGACGCGUACGGAGCGCAGCAGUGGAGAGUACUGGAGGAUGAGCGAAAGCCUGAUCCAGCCAUGCCGCGUGGGUGAAGCAGGUCUUCGGAUCGUAAUGCCCUUUCGACGGGGACGAUGAUGACGGUACCCGUAGAAGAAGCCCCGGCUAACUUCGUG